UAUUGAAAACGUAGUUGUUUUCCCACGCUGCUAGACAAGAUGCGAAGAUAGAAAAAACUUUGUAUUAAUAUAAUUUGAUGUGGGAGCUUUAAGCACCUCAUAUUACAGUCGUGGACGAACACCUCACUGCUACUCCGCUGAUGGACAGGCAUUGGCAUGUUCAGGCUCUUUAGAUGCUUCCUCAUACGUUAACAGGAUGGAAAGGAAAAGCUGCAGUUUUAUGACCAUGCCACAGAUACUGGCUCUGUGCUAUCUGGCUUUGCUCAGGGUCAGAGAGGCCAUCACUCUAGCUGACUUGCUAAGAUGAAAGAAAGUCGCACCUUGGAUGGCAUGAGGGAUGGUGUCAGAGAGAUGUGUUCUUCUGUUCGUGACCUAAACCUUCAUGAGGAUUUUCCUGCAGAGAUGAAAAUAUUUGGAAGAGACACCCAGAUCUUUUGAGGUGUGGUUGAACAUUUGCAGCACAGAUUUCAGAAAUUAACUGACUCUGAUCCGGCACAAACUUCUUCCACCACAGACUCUUUCUCCAGCUUUUACUUCCACUGGGACAAAGAGGAGUUUUGGCUGGACCCAGUAUGCAUCACCAUUGGUUGGAUUGUACCUUGACGAAUGGACAGGUCAAGUGCCUCACCAACUGAAAAUACUGGCAUUCUGACCUCAGGCCCUGUCCACCAAAGUGAGCCUUGUGUAUAUAUACCAGCAAUCUAUCUCACAAUGUCCAAAUAUCAGCCCAAUAAUCAGCUAUUUUCUUUUGUUAAAUCACAAACUGUACAAGAAUGUAUUCUUUUUAUAAUUUGGAAUACCAUUUUGAAUCGCUUGUGAAGAAAAGUAAUCCUUUUACCAGCAGACCCAAAUCCAGCCUUCUUUUGGCAACACUUUGAAGUUCUCUAGCUGAAGUUAGCCCUUUUUAGAGCCUGUCUAAUUUGGCUAGCUUCUACCAAGAGACAGAAUUAUUUGCACCAAAUACCGUUGAAUUUCAAUGGACAUAUGGGACUUACACGCCAAAAGAUGUGGGGAAUGUUUUCUUCUCCCUUUUAAAAAUGAAUAAGCCUAUUUUUUCUGCUAUCUAUGCUCACUAUGCACAAUUAUAUGGUUAUUUGCAUUUUAUUAUUUGCAUUAAGCUUUGUUUUUUGCCUGCUGUUCACCGUCCAAUCUGAACAGACCUGCGUUUUGGGUCGUGACCCACCCCCUUCAGAUCCACUGUACUAUUGAAGAUUCUGGCUUAUUUGGCACUUUCAAACAAUACACAAGGUAAACUAUAGAUCUUUUUUCUCAUAUAGGCUUUGUGGCGAUCAUUUCUCAGAAAUCGAGCCCAGCUUGCCCAGGACAUAUGUGUGGCUGAUGGAUUUCUUCUAAUUUCUGCUGGUAGUCCGUCAAACACUAGUGCACAGAGAGGUCCUUAAUGUAGAGCGGCGUGUCCUAAAAAGAAAACGAGAAACUCAUCCAUGGCUAUAAUGACUCUCCCUCCCUGCAAUAAAAGGAAAACAU
Molecule: long non-coding RNA, 1485 nt
Organism: Myxocyprinus asiaticus (Chinese sucker)
Lineage: Eukaryota; Metazoa; Chordata; Actinopteri; Cypriniformes; Catostomidae
Exons: 5
Source: RefSeq, a predicted model, not a curated record